AAGUCGUAACAAGGUUUCCGUAGGUGAACCUGCGGAAGGAUCAUUACCGAGUGAGGGCCCUCUGGGUCCAACCUCCCACCCGUGUUUAUUUUUCCUUGUUGCUUCGGCGGGCCCGCCUUAACUGGCCGCCGGGGGGCUCACGCUCCCGGGCCCGCGCCCGCCGAAGACACCCUCGAACUCUGUCUGAAGAUUGUAGUCUGAGUGAAAAUAUAAAUUAUUUAAAACUUUCAACAACGGAUCUCUUGGUUCCGGCAUCGAUGAAGAACGCAGCGAAAUGCGAUACGUAAUGUGAAUUGCAAAUUCAGUGAAUCAUCGAGUCUUUGAACGCACAUUGCGCCCCCUGGUAUUCCGGGGGGCAUGCCUGUCCGAGCGUCAUUGCUGCCCUCAAGCACGGCUUGUGUGUUGGGCCCCGUCCUCCGAUCCCGGGGGACGGGCCCGAAAGGCAGCGGCGGCACCGCGUCCGGUCCUCGAGCGUAUGGGGCUUUGUCACCCGCUCUGUAGGCCCGGCCGGCGCUUGCCGAUCAACCCAAAUUUUUAUCCAGGUUGACCUCGGAUCAGGUAGGGAUACCCGCUGAACUUAA
Molecule: unclassified non-coding RNA, 581 nt
Filed under: Penicillium aethiopicum
Lineage: Eukaryota; Fungi; Ascomycota; Eurotiomycetes; Eurotiales; Aspergillaceae
Also listed under: 1 other name
Description: sequence contains ITS1, 5.8S rRNA gene and ITS2
Rfam family: 5.8S ribosomal RNA (bases 223-375)
Source: RNAcentral